GUCUAGGCCCUGCCACCCAGAAAGCGCCUGAUCUCACUUGACCUCGGAAGCUAAGCAGAGUCGGGCUGGUUAGUACUUUGGUGGAAGGCCACCCGGGAAUACUAGGUGCUAUGUAGACU
This 119-nucleotide ribosomal RNA is filed under the name Procavia capensis (Cape rock hyrax). The record is from RNAcentral. Lineage: Eukaryota; Metazoa; Chordata; Mammalia; Hyracoidea; Procaviidae.